RNAcentral lists this ribosomal RNA (387 nucleotides) under uncultured bacterium. RNAcentral describes it as "bacterial SSU rRNA". It matches the Rfam family "Bacterial small subunit ribosomal RNA", at positions 28 to 417 of the family's 1533-position model. The record is from RNAcentral.
GACGAACGCUGGCGGCGUGCUUAACACAUGCAAGUCGAGCGGUAAGGCCCUUUCGGGGUACGACGAGCGGCGAACGGGUGAGUAACACGUGGGUGACCUGCCUUUAGCUCUGGGAUAAGCCUGGGAAACUGGGUCUAAUACCGGAUAUGACCCUAUGGCGCAUGUUGUGGGGUGGAAAGCCUUGUGCGGCUAGGGAUGGGCCCGCGGCCUAUCAGCUUGUUGGUGGGGUGAUGGCCACCAAGGCGACGACGGGUAGCCGGCCUGAGAGGGCGACCGGCCACACUGGGACUGAGACACGGCCCAGACUCCUACGGGAGGCAGCAGUGGGGAAUCUUGCGCAAUGGGCGAAAGCCUGACGCAGCGACGCCGCGUGAGGGAUGACGGCCU